Salmo salar (Atlantic salmon) is the source of this 355-nucleotide non-coding RNA. The record is from RefSeq and is a predicted model, not a curated record. Lineage: Eukaryota; Metazoa; Chordata; Actinopteri; Salmoniformes; Salmonidae.
AAAGACUGUAGGGUAUGGGGAAUAGGAGGACUAAAGACUGUAGGGUAUGGGGAAUAGGAGGACUAAAGACUGUAGGGUAUGGGGAAUAGGAGGACUAAAGACUGUAUGGGGAAUAGGAGGACUAAAGACUGCAUGGGGAAUAGGAGGAUUAAAGACUGUAGGUAUGGGGAAUAGGAGGACUAAAGACUGUAGGUAUGGGGAAUAGGAGGACUAAAGACUGUAGGGUAUGGGGAAUAGGAGGACUAAAGACUGUAUGGGGAAUAGGAGGACUAAAGACUGUAGGUAUGGGGAAUAGGAGGACUAAAGACUGUAGGUAUGGGGAAUAGGAGGACUAAAGACUGUAGGGUAUGGGGAA